GUCCCGGUCCCGUUCUGAAACCGUCCCGAAAUUUGCCGGUACGGGUCGGGAUCAAAAUCUGAAAUUUACUAUUUGGGCCCGUCCCGUCCCGUCCCGCGGAAACGGGCCCGGUACCGGUACUAGCUUAGUAGAAACCGAUUGAUCCCGUCCCGUCCCGUUUGAAUUAAUUUAAUUAAAUCUUUAAUUUUUUAUAUUAUUUGGUUGGUUUUGAUUGGGUAAUUUAAUGUGGGAACACAAAGGAAUGACACACCUGAUCAAAACAUUUUGACCUAACUCACCUAAGUCCCUAAGCCGAUCCCCAAUUCACCUCCUUCAGCCCAGCGACGGAGGUACGACAGCCCCGAUUAUCCCCAACACCUCCGCCCCUACCACCGCCUCCGACCGCCGUACCUCCUUCAGUGGUAAUACAGAGCUGUGGAAUGUUGAGACCUGGCCUUUUGUUAACUGUGUGUUUAUCGAUGAAUUGAGUUGGCUCUGCUGAAUAUGUACCAUCUUUAGACUCAUUUCCAAUGCUUCACUUUACAGCACUCUUGUUAUGCAUACCGAUACUUCUGGCCUCUGGGCUUGCAGCCAUUUUAGUUCAUAUAGUAGCUGUUAUCAGUACCAAGACCAGGGCCACACCACAUAUUACCAACCAAAUCUGUCGAAAGUUUUUCAUGUUUGUUAGGUUACGAUGAUGAGCACAUCUCAUGUUUAUACAAUGCCUUGCAUCAAGGCUGAUGAUAAACCUAACUUCAUGAUGCUGUUGGAAUAUGAUCAUAUUGCUGUUGAUGCAAUUCUACCUUGCAAGUAACCCAGUGCCACCCGGUCACAACCAGCAUCUUAAACUAGUUUGUAUCUAUGGCUUGGGAUUGGGAGGAUAUAUGCAGUUUGUAGAAUUGAAAAGAUUGUUGGUUUGAAAUAUUAAAUUGCAUCUGAUAUGACAUUAUCCUGAUCAUGAGAGCACUGCCUCCAGCAGAAAUACACGUUCAACAAUCCCGAAAGCAAAGGGGAAGGGAAGGGCUGCAGUGGUAAAUGUUGACUAAUGAGUUUAUGAGGUUGUGAGACUGAGUGUGAUGAAGUGAUGAAGGUUUUUUGAAAUGUGUUUAAUACUUCAAGACUUGUAGUUAACUAGUUUUUAUCAUGUAAUGGACUUUAUAAGACCUACUGGACUUAUUGUUGAAUUCAUGAAUUGGUUUCUGUGUUUAUUCAUUUAUUGAACUUAUUGUUGGUCAA
Molecule: long non-coding RNA, 1215 nt
Organism: Rosa rugosa (rugosa rose)
Lineage: Eukaryota; Viridiplantae; Streptophyta; Magnoliopsida; Rosales; Rosaceae
Exons: 2
Source: RefSeq, a predicted model, not a curated record